Molecule: long non-coding RNA, 1184 nt
Organism: Leopardus geoffroyi (Geoffroy's cat)
Lineage: Eukaryota; Metazoa; Chordata; Mammalia; Carnivora; Felidae
Exons: 4
Source: RefSeq, a predicted model, not a curated record
GCCUGCCAAGAAAAGGAGGGGCACGGUAGUGGAUCCUACACCCUCUUCUUGUUUCUCUACUAACUGGACUAUGCUUCAGAACCCUGUAAAAGGGCUGAGUCGGAGGGGAAGUGCCCCUGAGGACAACUGGGACGUUAUAGGGUUAUAGAAACUGGUGCCUUGGAUAUAGAAGAAGGAGGGUAAGGAAGGCGUUCCGGACCACGGUCUAAAGCAGGAUCCGCCCUGUCUGUGACGAAGGGCUUCCCAGAAGAGGUGGGGGUGUAUUUGCCCAAGGAUGGAGUGGUUCUGGGGGUGAUGUGGGGAGAGGGUGAGGCUGGAGGGGACCCCUCGGAGUCCGAGAUGAAGGGACUUAAUCUGAGGCAGAGAAAGGGCAAGAGGGGCUGGGCUGGAUAGAACCCGUGCACUACACAGCUCUGAGCACUAUCUGGAGAUAGUGUGGAGGCGCAAAGCCUGACGUAGUUAGGGUUUGACACAUAUUAUUAUGACUUUUUUUUUCCAUCGCAGGCAGUCCGAAGUCUCUUGCUGGCCGCCUUCGGCACCAACUGGGCGGCUCAGAACUCCAUCCCAAAGUUCAGAGUUGGGCCAUGGCUCCUUUGGGUCUCCCCAGUCCACACCUGCAGGCCAGCUGAGAGGCAGGCAAGGGGAGUCUCCACAUGCAGAGGAGGCAGCUGGGUCCAGAAUGGCACCAGGACCAGUCCAGGGGCCCAUGAAGAGGGCUCUGGCCUAGGAGUCCUGGGCCGAGCUCUGCCCCAUCCUGCUGAGAGGAGACAUGAGGAAAGAUGGAGGAGGAGGCUGUUACUCCCCAGACACUGAAGGAGGGGGGAUCCCAACCACCAAGAAGCCUUCCUGAAGAGUGGUGCCAGCUGGAAGGUCUGCGUCAUCAUCGUCGUCUGGGACUGCUGCACACAGCACUCCAGCGGUCAAGGCAGAAGGAAAAUGUCAACCCCAGCCCCAGAAUUCAUCCUUUUCCACUCUGUGCCCCAGAAACUACUUGUAGUAGUGCCUCUCUGUCAGAGUGAAGGAGCCAACAAGGGACCUUGGACAAGCUUACUGCUUUCCUCUGAGCCUCAUUUUCAACAUCUAUCAGCCAGGCAAGAAAUCCCUCCAAUUCCCCAGCCCCAGGAGAUCCAGAUGGACAUGGGACAGUUUUGAAGAUAAAUAAAACCUCUAGCCUGUUCUUCUGA